CCUAUUUCUUAAUCUAGAACAUUCAAGGAUGACUUUUUUCCCAAUGAAAAUAUGAUAAAUGAUUGUGAAGAACUCAUUAAUAACUCAAGCACGCAUGCUGUUUCUGUUCAAAAGUCAGAAGUAAAAAUGCACACUGAUAUUAAUGAGACACAGAAAUCACAUCUGAGUUUGAGGAUAUAAACAUAUAUUCAGAAUUCCCUACAAAUCUCUAUAGAUCCAAACAAAUUGGAGUUUUCAAUAAAAAUUCAAAAUAUGGUGGAAAAUAUUGAAAAACAUAUAAGAUCACACACUGCGUGUAGUUGUCACAGCCCCAGUCUGUCUGUUCCUCCCUCCUUCCUUGCCCUUCGUAUAUAUGUGCUAACCAUGGAAAUGCUGUUUCACAUGCUGCUUCUCCACAGCUGCAAUUACUCCUCUUUGCCAAGAUCCCCGUCUGUCCAUCUUUACUGGUUUGGGUACAAUUAUAGAUUUAUCUAAUAAUAUAGGAAGUAUAAUAAAAUAUAAGAAGCAGACCAGAUGGCCAGAUCGUCAGAUCCUUUUUGAAAUGGACCCUGCCUACCAAAAUAAAGUAAGUUUUUAAAAAGUUCAUCUUAGGGA
Molecule: long non-coding RNA, 594 nt
Filed under: Fukomys damarensis (Damara mole-rat)
Lineage: Eukaryota; Metazoa; Chordata; Mammalia; Rodentia; Bathyergidae
Description: lncRNA (ENSFDAG00000028055.1)
Source: RNAcentral